Molecule: unclassified non-coding RNA, 228 nt
Filed under: Hevea brasiliensis (rubber tree)
Lineage: Eukaryota; Viridiplantae; Streptophyta; Magnoliopsida; Malpighiales; Euphorbiaceae
Source: RNAcentral
UUGAGAACCUAUGUUUUAUGAAGCAAUUGAAAAUAAGGAGUGGAAGAAUGCGAUGAAGGAAGAAGUGAUGGCAAUACAAAGAAUUGAUGGUUAAACUGGAUAUUCAAAACAAGGUAUCAUGUAGAUGGAAGUGUACAGAAAAACAAGGCCAGACUUGUCGCAAAGGUAUACUUGCAACAACAGGGUAUUGAUUUUGAGGAGACAUUUUCUUAUGUUACUGGAUUUGAA